This 545-nucleotide long non-coding RNA is filed under the name Citrus sinensis (sweet orange). RNAcentral's name for it is "long non-coding RNA (CSIN_LNC005778)". Lineage: Eukaryota; Viridiplantae; Streptophyta; Magnoliopsida; Sapindales; Rutaceae. The record is from RNAcentral.
ACAUCAAUUUUACUUGAAUCCAUGAAAUUUGAAAUUUAACCCCCACCACUAAUGCUACUGAUCAUUCAAAAUAAUCAUCUUAUCCUGCCACCCUUUGUAAUUUGGGACACUUCUUUCUUUCUUGUGGGGCAACAUUAAUGCUAGUAUAUAAGCUGACACCACUGGCCGUAGUUUAAAAGACACACUGUUAUUUUCCUCCAUAGCCAUUGUUUAUACCGUCUUUCUAUUUCAUCAAAUGAAUCAUAUUCCAUACAUACCAGUAUAUACAUGAACGGAGUCCUCAAAAGAAAGAUUUGGAAAAGCAAUUAAUGAAGUUACUUGAUAUUAAUCUUUAAUAUCUAAAAGGGCAUGUGGAGCUAUAGAGUAUGGAAGGCUUUAAGAUUCAUAUAUAUAUAUGAGGGGCUUAGCCUAAAUUGUUAAAGGCAAACAAGAAACAAAAUUAGAACUAGUUCUGUUUCUUAAAGCAAUUUCUUGUGUAUUUUUUUAGUAAAUAUGGUUCCUCAAACACAAACUCAUCAGACAGACAAGCUUGUUAAAGUUGCUUU